Molecule: ribosomal RNA, 435 nt
Filed under: uncultured bacterium
Lineage: Bacteria
Description: bacterial SSU rRNA
Rfam family: Bacterial small subunit ribosomal RNA
Source: RNAcentral
GAUGAACGCUGGCGGCGUGCCUAAUACAUGCAAGUCGAGCGAAUGGAUUGAGAGCUUGCUCUCAAAGAAGUUAGCGGCGGACGGGUGAGUAACACGUGGUUAACCUGCCCAUAAGACUGGGAUAACCCCGGGAAACCGGGCUAAUACCGGAUAAUAUUUUGAACUGCAUGGUUCGAAAUUGAAAGGCGGCUUCGGCUGUCACUUAUGGAUGGACCCGCGUCGCAUUAGCUAGUUGGUGAGGUAACGGCUCACCAAGGCAACGAUGCGUAGCCGACCUGAGAGGGUGAUCGGCCACACUGGGACUGAGACACGGCCCAGACUCCUACGGGAGGCAGCAGUAGGGAAUCUUCCGCAAUGGACGAAAGUCUGACGGAGCAACGCCGCGUGAGUGAUGAAGGCUUUCGGGUCGUAAAACGUCUGUUGUUAGGGAAGAAC